Long non-coding RNA from Hydra vulgaris (swiftwater hydra), 821 nucleotides. RefSeq lists it as uncharacterized. The record is from RefSeq and is a predicted model, not a curated record. NCBI's taxonomy places the organism in Eukaryota, Metazoa, Cnidaria, Hydrozoa, Anthoathecata, Hydridae.
GAAUGGAUCCUUCCACAAAAAGAAAACGUCGAAAAUUAUUAAAAAAGUACAACAGAAUAUUUUCGAACAAUACUUUAGCGCAGCCAAUGACUUGUUUAAUGAGUGAAAUUAUUUCUAGCAGCGACAAUUUGUUGGAGGAAGACAUUAAUUUAGCAUUAACCACAACAGUGCGUGGUUUCAAGAAAUAUUCACCAUUCUCAUUCGGAUUGAAGACACCCAAAAAACCCUAACGGGCAUGGUGGUUGGUCUAAGCAACACCAAAUCUGCUGUUAAUGCGCCGGUGGAAGCUUUAAAAUUCAGCACAACAGCAGACGAGCUGGAUAGUCACCUGACUUAUUGGCUGGACCUAAAUGAUUGUGAACGUCAGUCCUUGUUAAAGAUUGCAUCUUUGUCCAAGUGUGACACUUGCAUCACAAAAUCUCUCUGGCAAGCUUUCUAAUAUGUUGUUGGCCCUGGCACCCAGCUCAGUUUGGUCUUUAUAUAGCCGGGAUAGGAAAAGAGUGAAAAGGAGUUUUAGCCCAAGUAUUCUUCCUAUCAUAACAGAUUCUCUGCAGCUAAGAUCGCAAAAACGCAUUAACGCCCAUAAGGUGUCAGAGGCGCUCGGGGAUCAAUUAAAACGAAUGCCAAUGCAUGCAAAACGCGCAGCAGUCAAGGCAGAAGAUAGACUAAUAGGCACACCUAGUCGAGCACCAAAGAAGGCUAAUAUUGCACCUGAAUCUAUUGGGAAUGAUAAUUCUGACAAUAACGCCUUUGAUGAUAUUUGCAACGAUGAUAUUUCGUUUACCAAAGACAGUGAUUAGAUGAAAAAUGUACACAGAUUA